RNAcentral lists this transfer RNA (76 nucleotides) under Nitrolancea sp. Its description in RNAcentral is "tRNA-Gly". It matches the Rfam family "tRNA". From Rfam's summary of the family: Transfer RNA (tRNA) molecules are approximately 80 nucleotides in length. The record is from RNAcentral. Lineage: Bacteria; Pseudomonadati; Thermomicrobiota; Thermomicrobia; Sphaerobacterales; Sphaerobacteraceae. RNAcentral also lists the same sequence under 5 other names.
GCGGGAGUAGCUCAGUUGGUAGAGUACCUGCCUUCCAAGCAGGGCGUCGCGGGUUCGAGUCCCGUCUCCCGCUCCA